Molecule: ribosomal RNA, 374 nt
Filed under: uncultured eukaryote
Lineage: Eukaryota
Description: partial 18S ribosomal RNA
Rfam family: Eukaryotic small subunit ribosomal RNA
Source: RNAcentral
CAAGAGCGUAUGUAAAAGUUGUUGCAGUUAAAAAGCUCGUAGUUGAACCUUGGGUUUGGUUGGCCGGUCCGCUUUUUUGCGAGUACUGGAUUCAACCGAGCCUUUCCUUCUGGCUAACCAGUCGUUUCGGCGGCUGGCGAACCAGGAUUUUUACUUUGAGAAAAUUAGAGUGUUCAAAGCAGGCAUUAGCUUGGAUAUAUUAGCAUGGAAUAAUAGAAUAGGACGUUAUGGUUCUAUUUUGUUGGUUUCUAGGACCAUCGUAAUGAUUAAUAGGGACGGUCGGGGGCAUCAGUAUUCAGUUGUCAGAGGUGAAAUUCUUGGAUUUACUGAAGACUAACUACUGCGAAAGCACUUGCCAAGGACGUUUUCAUUAA